Molecule: non-coding RNA, 548 nt
Filed under: Trichomonas vaginalis G3
Lineage: Eukaryota; Parabasalia; Trichomonadida; Trichomonadidae
Description: Eukaryotic large subunit ribosomal RNA
Rfam family: Eukaryotic large subunit ribosomal RNA
Source: Rfam by way of RNAcentral
CCUAACGAUCCCUAAAUAGCCUCAGGUGCGUGAGGAUUGGGGUGACAGACAAGUUACCUCCGGGACAACUGGCUUGUGGCUGCUAAGAGAUCAAAUCAACGCAGCUUUUUGAUUCUUCGAUGUCGGCUCUUCCUAUCCUAGUGAUGUACAAGUUGCUAAGGGUCGGAUUGUUCACCCGUAUUAGGGAUCGUGAGCUGGGUUUAGACCGUCGUGAGCCAGGUUUGUUUUAUCCUACUGGAUAUAGCAUCAUGAUAGUAGAUUGAUUUAGUACGAGAGGAACUGUUGAUUAUGGCCUCUGGUUAGCGAUUAUCGGAAACGGUAUGUCGCGCAGCUACGCCGUCUGGGAUAAUGGCUGAAAGCCUCUUAAGCCAGAAGCCCAUCUAGAAAGUGAUGCACGUGAUGUUGGACCGAUACGAAUAAUCAUACUCAAAAGGUCCGCUUCAUAGGUAACCCAAUGUAGAAGACAUUGUGUGAACGAAGGUACUGUAAGCAGUGGAGUGGCAUUACGUCCACGACCUGUUGAGGUUCAGCUUCGCUUCUAGGUUUCC